UGGGGAAUCUUAGACAAUGGGCGCAAGCUUGAUCCAGCCAUGCCGCGUGAGUGAAGAAGGCCUUAGGGUCGUAAAGCUCUUUCGCCAGGGAUGAUAAUGACAGUACCUGGUAAAGAAACCCCGGCUAAAUCUGUGCCAGCAGCCGCGGUAAUACGGAGGGGGUUAGCGUUGUUUGGAAUUACUGGGCGUAAAGCGCACGUAGGCGGAUUAGAAAGUUAAAGGUGAAAUCCCAGGGCUCAACCCUGGAACUGCCUUUAAAACUCCUAGUCUUGAGUUCGAGAGAGGUGAGUGGAAUUCCAAGUGUAGAGGUGAAAUUUGUAGAUAUUUGGAGGAACACCAGUGGCGAAGGCGGCUCAUUGGCUCGAUACUGACGCUGAGGUGCGAAAGUGUGGGGAGCAAACAGGAUUAGAUACCCUGGUAGUCCACCCCGUAAACGAUGAAUGCCAGUCGUCGGGUAGUAUACUAUUCGGUGACACACCUAACGCAUUAAGCAUUCCGCCUGGGGAGUACGGUCGCAAG
RNAcentral lists this ribosomal RNA (519 nucleotides) under uncultured Alphaproteobacteria bacterium. RNAcentral's name for it is "bacterial SSU rRNA". It matches the Rfam family "Bacterial small subunit ribosomal RNA", at positions 355 to 892 of the family's 1533-position model. Lineage: Bacteria; Pseudomonadati; Pseudomonadota; Alphaproteobacteria. The record is from RNAcentral.